This 1368-nucleotide ribosomal RNA is filed under the name Anisandrus dispar. RNAcentral describes it as "16S ribosomal RNA". The stretch from base 879 to 1240 matches the Rfam family "Bacterial large subunit ribosomal RNA", at positions 2073 to 2647 of the family's 2925-position model. The record is from RNAcentral. Lineage: Eukaryota; Metazoa; Arthropoda; Insecta; Coleoptera; Curculionidae.
UUUAUAGAUGUAGUUUGAGGGAUUAGAUGUCUAUAUAAUAGUGAAUGUGGGGUUUGUGGAUAAAUGAAGCAGCUUUUAGGUUUUAGUAAAUUUAUUGAAAGAAUUUUUUUAGGGAUAGAAGAUUAGUAUUGUGAAAGAAUUUUUUUAUAAAUUUAAAGAAAAAAUAAGUUUUUGUACCUUGGGUAUCAGGGUUUAUCAAAAAGGUUUUAUAGUUUUUGGUUUUCUCGAGUUUAAAAGAGCUAUUUAAUUGUUAUAUUCAUUGUGGCAAUAAUGUUUUUAAUUAUUAAAUGGUAGUGAAAUGCUAGUCGUUUUUAAAUAUAUCUAGUUUUUUGAGAAAAAAAUUAAAUUUUUUUCUAUUUUAGUACAUUUUUACUUUUAUAGGUAUAUAUUUGGUAGAAGCAAUAAUUUAGGGGUUGAGCUUUAGGUUAAAUUUGUAUAACAUAAUGGGGUUAUUUACUUAAUAUAUAGGAUUUAAAGUUUCUGUUUAGUGAUUUAUAUCUUUUUUGGUUAGUAAUAAGAUUUUUUAAUUAUUUUUAUAUUAUUUAUUGAAAUAGGGGGUUUAAUUGGGGUAACCUGUGAAAAAAUGAUAAAAUUAGUAUAAUUAAUAUUAUUUAUUAUAGUUUGGUUAAGGUUUAAUUAAGGAACUCGGCAAAUUAUAUCUCUCACCUGUUUAUUAAAAACAUGUCCUUUUGAUUAUAAUUUAAGGUCCGGCCUGCCCAAUGAAUAUUUUAAAUGGCCGCGGUAUACUGACCGUGCAAAGGUAGCAUAAUCAUUAGUUUUUUAAUUGAAAGCUGGAAUGAAAGGUCUCAUGAAGAGAUUUCUGUCUCGAUUAAAAUUUUUUUAGAAUUUUAUUAUUUUGUAAAAAGGCUAAAAUUUAUGUAAAAGACGAGAAGACCCUAUAGAGUUUAAUAAAUUUAUUGGAAAUAUUAAUUGGGAUCUUUUUGUUUAUUUGUUAGAUUUAUUUGGUUGGGGUGAUUUAAAAAUUGAAUAAACUUUUUAAUUAUUUGAUCACUGAUUAGUGAAUAUAUGAUCCUUACAAAAGAUUAAAAGAAAAAAUUACCUUAGGGAUAACAGCGUUAUUUUUCUAGAGAGUUCAAAUCGAAAGAAGAGUUUGCGACCUCGAUGUUGGAUUAAAAUUUAGGUUUGGUGGAGAAGCUAGAUUGUUAGGUCUGUUCGACCUUUAAAAUUUUACAUGAUCUGAGUUUAGACCGGCGUGAGCCAGGUUGGUUUCUAUCUUUACAAUUCUAAUAUUUUUUAGUACGAAAGGACCAAAAAUUUACUGAAUAUUAGUUUUUAUUGAACAUUAUUGUUGCUUUGGCAGAAUAGUGUGAUAGAUUUAGAAUCUUUUUAUGUAGUGAAUUACUAUAG